GUAAUACGUAUGUCGCAAGCGUUAUCCGGAAUUAUUGGGCUUAAAGGGCAUCUAGGCGGUCUAACAAGUUGAAGGUGAAAAGCUGUGGCUCAACCAUAGUCUUGCCUACAAAACUGUCAGACUAGAGUACUGGAAAGGUGGGUGGAACUACACGAGUAGAGGUGAAAUUCGUAGAUAUGUGUAGGAAUGCCGAUGAUGAAGAUAACUCACUGGACAGAAACUGACGCUGAAGUGCGAAAGCUAGGGGAGCAAACAGGAUUAGAUACCCUGGUAGUCCUAGCUGUAAACGAUGAUCACUGGGUGUGGGGGUAUAAGCCUCUGUGCCGAAGCAAAAGCGAUAAGUGAUCCGCCUGGGGAGUACGUACGCAAGUAUGAAACUCAAAGGAAUUGACGGGGACCCGCACAAGUGGUGGAGCAUGUGGUUUAAUUCGACGCAACGCGAGGAACCUUACCAGAUCUUGACAUACUCGGAAUAAGAUGGAAGCAUCUUAGUGCCUUCGGGAACCGAGAUACAGGUGGUGCAUGGCUGUCGUCAGCUCGUGUCGUGAGAUGUUGGGUUAAGUCCCGCAACGAGCGAAACCCCUAUCAUUAGUUGCCAUCAUUAAGUUGGGGACUCUAAUGAAACUGCCCGCGACGAGCGGGAGGAAGGUGGGGAUGACGUCAAGUCAUCAUGCCCCUUAUGAUCUGGGCUACACACGUGCUACAAUGGGUAGUACAAAGAGGAGCUAAGCAGUGAUGUGGAGCAAAUCUUAAAAGCUACUCUCAGUUCGGAUUGAAGUCUGCAACUCGACUUCAUGAAGUUGGAAUCACUAGUAAUCGCAAAUCAGCAAUGUUGCGGUGAAUACGUUCCCGGGCCUUGUACACACCGCCCGUCACACCACGAGAGUUAGUUGCACCUGAAGUUACUGGCCUAACCGUAAGGAGGGAAGUACCUAAGGUGUGAUUAGUGAUUGGGGUGAAGUCGUAACAAGGUAUCCGUACCGGAAGGUGCGGAUGGAUCACCUCCUUU
RNAcentral lists this ribosomal RNA (1009 nucleotides) under Acinetobacter baumannii. RNAcentral's name for it is "bacterial SSU rRNA". It matches the Rfam family "Bacterial small subunit ribosomal RNA", at positions 520 to 1533 of the family's 1533-position model. The record is from RNAcentral. Lineage: Bacteria; Pseudomonadati; Pseudomonadota; Gammaproteobacteria; Moraxellales; Moraxellaceae.